UCUUCCGUAGCACAAUUGGUAGUGCACAGUGCUUAUAACGCUGGGAUUGUGGGUUCAAUCCCCACCGGAAGAA
Molecule: transfer RNA, 73 nt
Filed under: Marseillevirus LCMAC102
Lineage: Varidnaviria; Bamfordvirae; Nucleocytoviricota; Megaviricetes; Pimascovirales; Marseilleviridae
Description: tRNA-Ile
Rfam family: tRNA
About the family: Transfer RNA (tRNA) molecules are approximately 80 nucleotides in length. Their secondary structure includes four short double-helical elements and three loops (D, anti-codon, and T loops).
Source: RNAcentral